Molecule: non-coding RNA, 2095 nt
Organism: Elaeis guineensis (African oil palm)
Lineage: Eukaryota; Viridiplantae; Streptophyta; Magnoliopsida; Arecales; Arecaceae
Source: RefSeq, a predicted model, not a curated record
UACCCUUCUGGUCACCAGCCUUAUCCGCCAACUCAGGGACUCCACUUCGACUUCCACAGCCAUCACCUGACCCCCAGAGCCCUAUCCUUGCCAAUACGGCCACCAGCGGCCCUGUCCUCUCAAAUCUAGCUACCAUCGACCUCGAGCUCCUCCCAAUGCCCAUGAUAAGACGUCAGUGGGAAAAUAUCCAUCCAUGAAGAUGUCUCAAACUCCUCUUGUCACUGCAAUCUGAGAGAUGCAGCUUGCCCGGACCUCCAUGACCGUAUCCAGUGAUGGGAAACCCCUGGCGAGAUCCUCGAUCAGACAGAAAGCAUCAUUGAAGACCGGGAUCCCGUCGAGCUCGAGCCCAGCAUCAAGGUACGACACCCCCUUGCCCUCACGUGCCCGCUGUCAGGGGUUACAUUCCUGAGCUAUGGGCUACGGUAGCCUAUGAAUAUUGAGAGGGAGCGGCGGGGGCCGCGGUGGCGCCGACAGAUGGGGUAGGCCAGAAGGAGGAUGUAUGCUGGAGGCUCGUGGUAGGGGUCUCCGAUCUGGGAGGCGGGGAUGCUGUAGUAUGGAGGCAGAGGCAUUGGAGAGAGGAGCGGCACCAUCGAAUCUCUGGUUUUCACCAUCGUUCUGUCCAUCGGUUCUCCUUACUCUCCCAAAAAUACAAAAAAAAACUUCCUUCGAAACUUUUUAUUGUUGACACAUAGCGGAUGGUGCUUGAGAAAAAUACACAUGUAGCGGAUGUUGCUUGGAGAAAAAUAGAUACAUGGCAGACGGAGGCUGAUGUUGGCCACCUUCGCCGGCUUCCACCACCCGUUCGAGUCAAGUGGCGAGUCGGCCGAGUAAGGGGUGCCGUUGGUGAACUCAGCUGGGAUGAGGAUGAGUUAGGGCUAGCCACCUCCGGACGUAACUCGGCCUCCUUCUUCGACUUCAAUCCCGCCCUCGGUGGCCUCGGUUGGCGGAUCCGGACGGUCAUAAUCCACGGCCCCAGUCGGGGGCGGCUGCUGGUCACAUGAGCGACAUCAUCCGCCGACGGCACCACCCCUCUCUCCACCAUCAUCGGUGUCACGUCCAGUUCCUUGCCCCAAACUCCCGAAUCCACGAAACUUAGAUUGAAAAGGGCAAUCACUCCUUUCCCAGCUCGAUUCGGCCUGCGGAAAGCGGCACACAUUAUCGGAAUAUCCCAAUCGGCCCCAAAGUUAGCAGACGCUGAGGAUGUUCUGGAAGAUAAAUGGAUGCCAAAAGGUACCCUUCAUUCUCCGGAUCAGGACAGCCACCUUCAGAGGUUUGUCGGCAUCGAUAGCUAUCCGGAUCCCGACGUAUCCCGUCUUUCGGAGCUGGUCCGUAAAAUCAUCCGUGGACAACGUCUCUCAGGCCUUCGAUGCAACGCCCAAAAUCUUCUCUUGCUUCCCGUAUUCGAUGGGUAGCUCAGAAAGUUUGAGUUAAACCACCAUCCAGCGAACAAUGUUUGGCCUCAGGACAUAAUCCGCCACCCACAUCUCCAUAGCAAGGAGCUGGCUGGCAACAAAUCAUGGGCUGCCCCUGAGCACCGCUUCACAGUUGGCCGCUGCUCGGAACCGGAGCAUAUAGUACGUCCUCUGCCAUCGCAAAGAUCUCAGGGUCAUACUCCAACUUACACUUCUCUUUCACCUCCUUCGCCACCCAGUACAACGGUACUCGUCAGCCGAGGCUACGAAUAAAGACGGUGACGUUCUCCCAUUCCUCCUGGGAUACCGCCAUUUCCUCCUACGGAAACUCGAGGACUUCAGUGAAGUAGUGCUAAAGCCUCUCCACCUCUUCCUUGGUGAUCUUAUGCGACGUCCACAUCGAUCGACUGCCUUGGGCCUCCCUGUGCCACCCUCGCCCACGACCGACCUCCUCUCCCAGAAUCAACAGACGACCGACCACUCUCGCCAUUGCUUCCAGCCUUCCUUUCUAUCUUUCAAACGUCCACCAGUUGCUCCACAGAAAGCUUCAAAGAGGGCACGAAAAUCCAGACACAGCACUCACGACCGCUCACGAGCGAACCUUUAUUUGCUGUUGUGAGUUGCAAUAUUCCUCCCACGUUACAUGGCAUAGAAUGAAUUAUUUGCCUCAAAUGGUAGCCCAA